AACAAACGCUGGCGGCGUGGCUAAGACAUGCAAGUCAAACGGUCCGGCAUUUAUUUGUUUACAAAUUCGUGCCGGAUAGUGGCGAAAGGGUUAGUAACGGGUAGGUAACGUACCCUGUGCUUUGGGAUAGCGUCAUUCGCUUUGGGCGAAUUUCCGAAAGGGGCGGUAAUACCAAAUAAUAUCAGUUGUCGAUAGGCAACUGUUCAAAGAUUUAUCGGCACAGGAGCGGCCUGCCUCCUAUCAGCUUGUUGGUGAGGUAAUGGCUCACCAAGGCAGCGACGGGUAGCGGGACUGAGAGGUUGGCCCGCAACAUCGGGACUGAGACACUGCCCGGACCUCCACGGAGGGCUGCAGUAACGAAUCUUGCGCAAUGGGCGAAAGCCUGACGCAGCGACGCCGCGUGUAGGAGGAAGUCCCUCGGGAUGUAAACUACUGUCAGGGGGAAGAAAGUCCACUCCGGUGGAUUGAUCUAACCCACAGGAAGUCACGGCUAACUUCGUGCCAGCAGCCGCGGUAAGACGAAGGUGGCAAGCGUUGUUCGGUAUUACUGGGCUUAAAGCGUGUGUAGGCGGAAAGGUAAGCGUCCUGUGAAAGCCCCCGGCUUAACCGGGGAAUUGCGAGGCGAACUGCUUUUCUUGAGGCAAGUAGGGGUGCAUGGAACUCUUGGUGGAGCGGUGGAAUGCGUAGAUAUCAAGAGGAACGCCGGUGGAGAAAUCGGUGCACUGGGCUUGUCCUGACGCUGAGACACGAAAGCGUGGGGAGCGAGCGGGAUUAGAUACCCCGGUAGUCCACGCUGUAAACGAUGCCUACUAGGUUGUGGUGGUUCUGACAUCAGCACAGCCGAAGCAAAAGUGUUAAGUAGGCCGCCUGGGGAGUACGGUCGCAAGGCUAAAACUCAAAGGAAUUGACGGGGGCUCACACAAGCGGUGGAGCAUGUGGAUCAAUCCGAAGCAACGCGUAGAACCUUACCUGGGUUUGACAUGCUUGGAUGCUUGCUUGGAAACAGGUUAAGCUGCCCUUCGGGGUGAAACUUGCACAGGUGCUGCAUGGCUGUCGCCAGCUCGUGUCGUGAGAUGUCGGGUUAAGUCCUUUAACGAGCGAAACCCUUGCCGUUAGUUGCCAGCGGGUCAUGCCGGGGACUCUAGCGGGACUGCCGGUGUUAAACCGGAGGAAGGUGGGGACGACGUCAAGUCAUCAUGGCCUUUAUGUCCAGGGCUUCACACGUGCUACAAUGGCGGGGACAGAGCGACGCGAUGUCGUGAGACCAAGCAAAUCGCAAAAACCUCGCCCCAGUUCGGAUUGUAGGCUGACAACUUGCCUGCAUGAAGUUGGAAUCGCUAGUAAUCGCGUAUCAGCUAUGACGCGGUAAAUGUGUUCCUGAGCCUUGUACACACCGCCCGUCAAGUGAUGGGAGUUGGGGGUACCCGAAGUCAGUUUGCUAACUCAGUUUACUGGGAAGCGGCUGCCGACGGUAAACCCGAUGACUGGCACU
Molecule: ribosomal RNA, 1492 nt
Filed under: uncultured bacterium
Lineage: Bacteria
Description: bacterial SSU rRNA
Rfam family: Bacterial small subunit ribosomal RNA
Source: RNAcentral